GCCCGAUUAGCUCAGCUGGUUAGAGCGUCGUACUAAUAGAAUUCUCACAUCCGUUCUACCCUCUCCAUCAAGAGAGGGGCGAAUAGAGGUUCUAAAUAGUCAUGCGAAGGUCAACAGUUCAAUCCUGUUAUUGGGCA
Non-coding RNA from Rhypophila decipiens, 137 nucleotides. The record is from the annotation of a GenBank genome assembly. NCBI's taxonomy places the organism in Eukaryota, Fungi, Ascomycota, Sordariomycetes, Sordariales, Naviculisporaceae.